UUUUUUUGGCUCUUUAACCCAAUAAGAAAGCUGUAUAUGACCUUUUCAUUUUGGACUGUUAACAUUCAAAUUAUGAUGGACUUGUUUCCUUGUUUAUGUGAAUUACAGCAUCAUCAGCUGCAGGAUCUGCCUGUUAUGUAAAACUGGUAAGCUCAAUGACAGUAUCCUGAGAGCAAUUAAGUGACAAAUAUUGUGCAAGAACAGCACUAUAUACAACCCUGUGUAUUUCUGCUUCUUAGAAUGUUUACUGACAAUUAUCACACCUAAAAUAAGAAAUAAUAUUCUGUACUUUUAGCAACUAGUUGUCAGCUGUAAACCAGAAACAUCAUAGGGUUCUGUAUACUAAUCAGUCUAAAUCAAAAUGAGUACUACCCAAUACACAGUGAACAACAACAAUCUGUACCCUUGAUCUGUGGUAAAAUAAUCUGAAAUGUUCUGUGUGUAACCCAGGUUACCAGGCCUUAUUAACAGUCCAGUUCACCAGUUGAUUAAUUAGACAAAUAAAUUAAUAAAUUCAUAUUUUUACCAAGGCUGCUCAGCGGCGUAGUGGUUAGCACUUUCGCCUUGCAGCUAGAAGAUCCCUGGUUCAAAUCUCGGGGUGGGCCUGGGAUCUUUCUGCAUGGAGUUUGCAUGUUCUCCCUGUGCAUGCGUGGGUUUUCUCCGGGUACUCCGGCUUCCUCCCACAGUCCAAAAACAUGCUGAGGUUAAUUGAUUACUCUGAAUUGCCCGUAGGUGUGAAUGCGAGUGUGAUUGUUCGUCUAUGUAUGUAGCCCUGUGACAGACUGGUGACCUGUCCAGGGUGUCCCCUGCCUUCGCCCGAGUCAGCUGGGAUAGGCUCCAGCACCCCCCGCAACCCUAGUGAUGAUAAAGCGAAAGGUUAGCGAAAGGGAGUGGGAAGUAAGAAUAGUCCAUAAGGUGAACCACAUUCUCGCUAACAUUACAAAAUGUGAGUCCUUUUAAGGUUUGCAUCCUAUUCCUGUCUCAUACGGUUCUGGGCCUUGAUCGAGCCUGCAUUGCCAUCCAUGGUCCAUGUGAGACAUGCACACCAAGGAACCUUCCCAGAGCCCAAUUCAGCAGCAGCACGAUCACUCCAACCCACAGAUGAGCUCUUUCUCUUUCUCAACUUCUUGGCCCUGGGUUCCAAACAGUGUGACCUAGCUGACCGUUAUGGAGUUCACCAGUCCACGGUGAGCCGAAUCAUCACAACCUGGAGCAACUUCCUCUAAACUGUCCUAGGAGCAAUCAGGAUAUGGAUCCCUUCUGAGAAAAUAAAGGAGCACAUGCCAGCAGAGUUUAAGCCAGACUAUGCAGACACUAUUGUUAUCCUGGACUGCACAGAGCUGAGGUGCCAGUGUCCAACAUCUCCUCUCCUCCAGAGUGAAGUGUUCUCUGCAUACAAGUCACACUGCACUCUCAAAGGGCUGAUCGGUAUUGCUCCGCAUGGGCCGACCGCAUUCAUCUCUCCACUAUAUGCAGGAUCAAUCAGUGACAAGCAGAUCAUGUGAGAGUCUGGAAUCAUCCCCCUGUUGAAACCCGGAAUGGCCAUCAUGGUUGACAGAGGUUUUCUUGUUGAUGAAUUUGUGCCGUGUAAGAUCUACAGGUCACCCUUUCUCUUUGGCAGAUCUCAGAUGUCUGCUGCUGAGGUCAGGGAAACACAAGAAAUUGCACACCUCAGGGUGUAUGUGGAACGCUUCGUACGCAGGGUGAAGGAACACAAGCUUUUUGACACUGAGAUUCCUCUUCGGCUGUUCGGCAACAUCAAUCAGCUGUACACUGUUGCUUUUCUCCUGACAAACUAUGAAAAUGGGCCUCUUGUAAAGGCUUCAAGUGAGCGCGCUUAAACUUAACCUGGCUCUAAUUUGUGUUGCCGGCUUAUUAUCACUCGUGACAAAGUUAACGUUAGUAAGCUGGGUCAAAUAUGGAUAAAUUUGUUUUUAAACGUCGCCGGACGGAACAACAGACAGCGGUGGUGGGUGAGUUGGAUAAAACUACGGACACACCUGCAAGGGAAGAUGACCACUCUGGUCCUGGGUCUCCCAUGUUCAAUGCUUGGGAGGAUGAAAAUGAGCAAGAUGAAGAGGAGAUGGAGCAGGAGGAAGAGGAAGAGACGUUUCUCAGCCGAGGCCGGAGGUGUUUUAUCUAGAGUCUCGGCACUCAGCCCCAAACAUGCGUCUUUCCUGGACAAAAAAUAUCUGCAGCCUAUGGAACAGUUCUACGGAGUGACUGAUCAAAACCUGACAGCAGAGCUACACCAAGUUCAGUGCCUGCUGGAAAGAAAGAGAGCGCAGGGACAUGUAGUGAAUGAGACUGUGGGAUUUCUUGCUUUAUUGUGGCCUUACCGGGAUGCUUUUGUGGAUUUAUACAAACUCAUCUGUAUUUCACUAACCCUGCCCAUGACCUCUGCUUUGUGUGAACGGAGUUUUUCCUGCCUCCGUCGGAUUAAGAACUAUCUACGGAACAGGAGCGGUGAUACCCGAAACAGCAACUUGGCCCUGUUGUCAAUCAAUAAACAGAAGACAAAGACUUUGGAUGUCCAACGCAUCAUUGACAACUUUGCCUCCAGUCACAAAAACCAGAGGAUUGUGCUUGUGUGAACAUUAGCUGGUGAGUUAUUGUUUUGUUUACUUUGUGAAGCGCUGUGGUUUCCCUCCUUGGCUGCUUAGCCUACUUAAUUUGUUGGAGCUGUGUUAAAACUCUUGGCUGCUCCGGAAUACUGUAAAUGGUUUUAGGUCAACUUGAAAAUGUGUGCUGUUAAAUGGGCUGAUCUGUGUGUUGAAGUUUGCCUUUUGACCACUCUAAUCUUAUAUUGGUCUCAUCGCCUCCCAUCUAUGCCGUUGAACAACCUGUUGUACUGUUAAGGUAACUAGUGCUGUAACUGUGACUGUUUCGAGCUGUGGUUGGAGAGUAUUUUAUUAAAUAUACAUUCACACUGAAA
This is a long non-coding RNA of Acanthochromis polyacanthus (spiny chromis), 2935 nucleotides long. RefSeq lists it as uncharacterized. NCBI's taxonomy places the organism in Eukaryota, Metazoa, Chordata, Actinopteri, Pomacentridae. The record is from RefSeq and is a predicted model, not a curated record. The transcript has 2 exons.